UCUGGCUCAGAUUGAACGCUGGCGGCGUGCUUAACACAUGCAAGUCGCGCGUGAAAGGACUUCGGUCCGAGUAAAGCGGCGCACGGGUGGAGUAACGCGUGGAUGAUCUACCCAUGAGUUAGGAAUAACGGCUGGAAACGGUACGCUAAUACCAAAUACGCUCCGAUUUCAACUUCGGGGGAAAGGGUGGCCUCUGCUUGCAAGCUACUGCUCAUGGAUGAGUCCGCGUCCCAUUAGCUAGUUGGUGGGGUAACGGCCCACCAAGGCGACGAUGGGUAGCCGGUCUGAGAGGAUGACCGGCCACACUGGGACUGGAACACGGCCCAGACUCCUACGGGAGGCAGCAGUGGGGAAUAUUGCGCAAUGGGCGAAAGCCUGACGCAGCGACGCCGCGUGAGGGAUGAAAGGUCCUCGGAUCGUAAACCUCUGUCAGGAGGGAAGAACCGCCACGGUGCUAAUCAGCCGUGGUCUGACGGUACCUCCAAAGGAAGCACCGGCUAACUCCGUGCCAGCAGCAGC
RNAcentral lists this ribosomal RNA (519 nucleotides) under uncultured bacterium. RNAcentral's name for it is "bacterial SSU rRNA". It matches the Rfam family "Bacterial small subunit ribosomal RNA", at positions 18 to 518 of the family's 1533-position model. The record is from RNAcentral.